Molecule: long non-coding RNA, 600 nt
Filed under: Fukomys damarensis (Damara mole-rat)
Lineage: Eukaryota; Metazoa; Chordata; Mammalia; Rodentia; Bathyergidae
Description: lncRNA (ENSFDAG00000030230.1)
Source: RNAcentral
CUGGAGCUCACUGUAGUAUUCUGUGCAAUUUUGUAUCAGGAGGCCAAAGAGACUGUGCUGGAAAGCUGAAGAGUCUGCACUGGAAGCCAGAAGACGACAUCUAAGAUGAAGGUGAAGACUGGAGCUCCUCAAAGAAACAGAAGUGAGCCUUCCUUCUUCGUUUCCCUUUUAUCUCAUCCAGGCGACAAAGCCUGCUGAUUGGUAUCACUCACUCACAGGUUGGGGCUCUGUCUUCAGUAAAUCCCUGUGAACACAUGUAGAACUAUGCUGAUCCAACUUAGUUGGACAUUUCUUACUCAGGUUGGCACAAUCACUAAACUAUCACACUGGGUGAGAGGCAGCCAAGGGAGACACCUACAGACAGAGAGCAGGGAAUUCUUGGCUUUAUCAGCAUCCAUGGUAUUCCGUGCCAGAUUAUAAUCAGACCCUUCAUCCACUGAACAAGACAAACCUACAACAUUUUUUCCUGUGCUAUUUGCCUUUAUACAAGCAACAUCACCAGAAAUACCAGAAGAUUUAGGUUAUUCAAUAAUGUGGUCAUCCUCAUGGGGUAAUUUUACUAUCUCCUUUGAUUUUUGUUCGUUUUUCCCUUUGCCCUCC